This 73-nucleotide transfer RNA is filed under the name Ovis aries (sheep). It matches the Rfam family "tRNA". Rfam says of the family: Transfer RNA (tRNA) molecules are approximately 80 nucleotides in length. Their secondary structure includes four short double-helical elements and three loops (D, anti-codon, and T loops). Lineage: Eukaryota; Metazoa; Chordata; Mammalia; Artiodactyla; Bovidae. The record is from Rfam by way of RNAcentral. RNAcentral also lists the same sequence under 2 other names.
UUCCAUGUGGUCCAGUGGCUAAGACUCUGUACUCUCAAUGCAGGGGGCCUAGGUUUGAUCCCUGGUUGGGAAG